UUGAACGCUGGAGGCGUGCUUAACACAUGCAAGUCGUGCGAGAAAGGGACUUCGGUGUUAGUGGCGCACGGGUGCGUAACGCGUGGGAAUCUACCCUUGGGUUCGGAAUAACAGUGGGAAACUACUGCUAAUACCGGAUGAUGACGUAAGUCCAAAGAUUUAUCGCCCAGGGAUGAGCCCGCGUAGGAUUAGCUAGUUGGUAAGGUAAAAGCUUACCAAGGCUACGAUCCUUAGCUGGUCUGAGAGGAUGAUCAGCCACACUGGGACUGAGACACGGCCCAGACUCCUACGGGAGGCAGCAGUAGGGAAUAUUGGACAAUGGGCGAAAGCCUGAUCCAGCAAUGCCGCGUGAGUGAUGAAGGCCUUAGGGUUGUAAAGCUCUUUUACCCGGGAUGAUAAUGACAGUACCGGGAGAAUAAGCCCCGGCUAACUCCGU
RNAcentral lists this ribosomal RNA (436 nucleotides) under uncultured bacterium. RNAcentral's name for it is "bacterial SSU rRNA". It matches the Rfam family "Bacterial small subunit ribosomal RNA", at positions 30 to 506 of the family's 1533-position model. The record is from RNAcentral.